RNAcentral lists this unclassified non-coding RNA (270 nucleotides) under Frankliniella occidentalis (western flower thrips). Its description in RNAcentral is "partial contains large subunit ribosomal RNA (rrnL); may also contain tRNA-Leu (trnL)". The stretch from base 1 to 150 matches the Rfam family "Bacterial large subunit ribosomal RNA", at positions 2495 to 2645 of the family's 2925-position model. The record is from RNAcentral. Lineage: Eukaryota; Metazoa; Arthropoda; Insecta; Thysanoptera; Thripidae.
AGAGAUCAAAUCAAGAAAAUUAAAUGCUACCUCGAUGUUGAAUUAAGAAAAGAUCUAAUAGAAAAAAAUUAGAUUAUAGGUCUGUUCGACCUUUAAAUUCUUACAUGAUUUGAGUUAAGACCGGUGUAAGCCAGGUUGGUUUCUAUCUUCAUAAUAGAAGUUUUUAUAGUACGAAAGGACCUAAAAACUUAAUUUUAUUAAUUAAUUAGCUUAUAUAAAGCAAGUAUUUUGAAAAUACUAGAAAGAUUUAAAAAUUUAUUAAUUUUAUGU